Molecule: ribosomal RNA, 597 nt
Filed under: Triticum aestivum (bread wheat)
Lineage: Eukaryota; Viridiplantae; Streptophyta; Magnoliopsida; Poales; Poaceae
Description: partial small subunit ribosomal RNA
Source: RNAcentral
AUGAAAGCCUUAUUCUGGAACAUCGUGGGUUUUGGUGCUAGGGGGCGCCGAGAACAGAUUAGAGAUCUCGUUCAUGGGGAUAAUAUUGAUAUUGUUGGGCUAGUUGAAACCUUUAAAGACUCCUUCUCUCGCAAUGAACUUUCUGUGAUUGCGGGCAUGUAUAGAUUUGAUUGGCACGUGCUUCCUUCUUCGGGACAUUCGGGAGGGAUCUUUAUUGGUUCCAAAAGGAAUGUCUUUGAUUUCGUGGCUUUUGAUCAUGGUAUAUUUUGGGCAAGCAUGGUAGUUUGUCACAAAGCUCUUAACACUCUGUGGGAAUUUAUAGUGGUCUAUGGCCCUGCUGAUCAUCCGCUGACCUCCAUGUUCCUGGAUGAGCUCUCUACUAAGAGCGAGGCCUGCAAUAUCCCGAUAGUUAUCGGUUGUGACUUUAACCUUCUUCGCACCCUCUCGGACAAGAGCAAUGCCAAAUUUUCCUGGCCAUUGGCUAAUGCUUUCAACGACUUUAUUAGCACCUGUGUUAUCCGCGAGCUUCCUAGGGUUGGGGCCCACUUUACCUGGUCAAAUCAUCAGGCCAUCCCGAUUAGAUAUGUGUUAGACUGA